Molecule: non-coding RNA, 30 nt
Filed under: Rattus norvegicus (Norway rat)
Lineage: Eukaryota; Metazoa; Chordata; Mammalia; Rodentia; Muridae
Source: RNAcentral
UCCAGCUUUACCAGAGUAAGAUGUCCCGAA